This 812-nucleotide long non-coding RNA is filed under the name Arabidopsis lyrata. RNAcentral describes it as "long non-coding RNA (ALYR_LNC000701)". Lineage: Eukaryota; Viridiplantae; Streptophyta; Magnoliopsida; Brassicales; Brassicaceae. The record is from RNAcentral.
GAGUAGCUGUUGUCGUUUUUCUAUAAGUAUGAGCUUGUAUUGUUGUGAAAAUGUGUGUGGUAAUGAAAUGAGUUUACUCUAAGUGUCUUUCUCCGAUGCUCUCAAAUAUCUUUCAAAGCAAACACAAAUUCUAGAACAGAACAGAGUUAUGAAGAAACUCUUUCUAAGUGAUAAAGCCAAGUAAAACAACAUGGUAUCAGAGCUCCGUUUCAGUCCUGGAGCUUCAACAGUCAAGAAGAGAAUGGCGGAUCAAGAGGGUCCUGCAAAAGAGAAGAGAAUGGCGGAUCAAGAAGAUCCUGCAAGAGAAAAAAGAGGAACAGAGAAGAUAAGUUCCAAAGGAAGAGUCUUACAUAAACAUGAUGAUGAAGAAAAUCACAUGUUCAGUGUUAGACAAGAAGAUAAAGAAGAAAAAGAAGAGGAUGUAUGGCUCAUAGACAGUGGAUGUACAAACCACAUGACGCCAAAUGAGAAGAAGUUUGUCUGCAUCAACACUAGCAUCAAUGUUCCCAUACGUGUUGGAAACGGUGCCGUCAUGAUGUCAAAAGGAAAAGGAGAUAUUGAAGUUAUGACCAAGAAAAGAGUCAAAAUUAUAAAAGAUGUUUUUCUUGUACCAAAUCUUGGUAAGAAUCUACUAAGUGUCCCUCAGAUGAUCAACAACGGAUAUCAAGUCAAGUUCAAAAAGAGAAGCUGCAUCAUACAUGACAGACUCGGGAGAAAAAUUGGUGAAGUUCAGAUGGUGAAUAAGAGCUUCCAUAUAAAGUGGCCCUCUAAAAAGGAAAGUGCAAUGGUGGCCAAGAGUGGUGAUGCAGAAC